Molecule: long non-coding RNA, 859 nt
Filed under: Olea europaea subsp. europaea
Lineage: Eukaryota; Viridiplantae; Streptophyta; Magnoliopsida; Lamiales; Oleaceae
Source: RNAcentral
UAGGCCAACAACUUCAAGAAUAUACUAAAGUAAAAUCUAAAGGUAACCAAGCCGAAGUUCCAAAUCCAAGUCUUCCUUCGGUUCACGAAUUGGGACACACUCCAAUGUCUUGACAAUUUCACAGUUUUUUUCUUGCUCAAAUGAAGUUAGAUUUUUGACCCCGGAAAGUGUUUUCGUGGUUUCCACCUUCAACAAAUUUGUUGUUAACGGUCUCGAAUGAUUUACUGGAACAGCAUCGUUACCCCAUCUCUUUUCGGCGAAAGUAGCAGAAAAACAAGAAGGCGUAGAGGAAGGAAAUAUUUGAGGUAAUGUGGAAUUAAAAGGUGGGAAUUUUGCCAAUGUAGAUGAGGAUGAAAUGCUAGGGUUAGGGUUCAUAUUUUCAGAAGGAUGAGGGUUCAGAAUUUUAUAAGGACUAGGGUUAGGGUUCAAAAUUUGGUUAGGGUUUGGUUCAAGAUUAAGGUUUAGAAGUGAAUACUGACUAUUAUCGCUUGGUGGAGACUCUCUCAAUCUGGCGCUCUCUCUCCUAUGAACAUUCAUAUGACCACCAAGAGCUUGAGCAGAUUUGAACUCUCUCUUGCAAAAGUUGCAAGUAUAAAAUCUUGGUGGCCAUGAAAAUUCACCAAGUAAAUCUCCUCCUCCAUUGCACUUAGUACUGUAAAAAUCCCAUGAAUCCUUUAACGUCUUGACAUUCAUUUCUUUCAUGCUUCUGCUACAAAUACUAUGCCUUCAAGUUGCUGGAAAAUCUUCUUCUCCAUGGCUUCUGAUGAUAAAGUCAGUCCAAGCAAGAUUAAGAUGAGAGAGAGAGAGAGAGAGAGAGUUAUUAGGGAGAUGGGAUGAUGACAAAUAGCUUGGACUUGGG